AGUGAACGCUGGCGGUAGGCCUAACACAUGCAAGUCGAACGGCAGCACAGUAAGAGCUUGCUCUUACGGGUGGCGAGUGGCGGACGGGUGAGGAAUACAUCGGAAUCUACUUUUUCGUGGGGGAUAACGUAGGGAAACUUACGCUAAUACCGCAUACGACCUACGGGUGAAAGCAGGGGAUCUUCGGACCUUGCGCGAUUGAAUGAGCCGAUGUCGGAUUAGCUAGUUGGCGGGGUAAAGGCCCACCAAGGCGACGAUCCGUAGCUGGUCUGAGAGGAUGAUCAGCCACACUGGAACUGAGACACGGUCCAGACUCCUACGGGUGGCAGCAGUGGGGAAUAUUGGACAAUGGGCGCAAGCCUGAUCCAGCCAUACCGCGUGGGUGAAGAAGGCCUUCGGGUUGUAAAGCCCUUUUGUUGGGAAAGAAAAGCAGCAGGUUAAUACCCCGCUGUUCUGACGGUACCCAAAGAAUAAGCACCGACUAACUUCGUG
This 492-nucleotide ribosomal RNA is filed under the name uncultured bacterium. RNAcentral's name for it is "partial 16S ribosomal RNA". It matches the Rfam family "Bacterial small subunit ribosomal RNA", at positions 29 to 507 of the family's 1533-position model. The record is from RNAcentral.